GAGCCUUAGUAUUAUUGCACCCGGAAUUCAUAUGUAUAAACCGUGUCCAUGACGGUACGUAGAACGUUGUUUUCUGCAGUAUGGCUUUUCUCUACGACACACAAGGGACACGGGAGACUGGAUAGAAUUUCAUUAGAGGCGCAACAACUCGCUACAAACCUUCUCGCGUAACGGCGUCCCAUCAUUAACGCACUCCUAUUAUAGGCAUAACCGUUUAACUAUUUUGCUAAUGCUCGACGUUAUUCCACUCGGUUGGCAAUUCCUAAGAGUUACGAGAAAUCGAUUCUGGCUCGAUGCAUAUGCCAUCGUAUAACCUCAAAGUCUCAUUAUUUAUUUUGUUUUUCGUUCACAAACUCAUCGGCUUCUCUAUUCGGAAUUUCCUGGGCUACUUAUAUGCUCGGCUUUCGCAAGUGAGAAGACAGCUAGCCACCCAGGCCAAGGGCUUCUGGGAGGUUAUGGCAUGGCUGGAUUAUAGAGUUGUUUUACUGCCUCGGGGGUUGGACGUAACCUCGCUUCAUAACAUAACCAAAUGAAGCGGGUUUGCUCCCUGGAGAAGGUCUGGGUCGGACCGUGUACCAGAGAUGCUCUCAUUACAAGGGACAGGAUAACUGUCCUAACGCGGCUGGAGCUGUGAAAAUUGAGUUUCCGAGAGAGCUCCUGGAUUAACCAAGACGAGCGGAAGUCGCCGUUAAAACGGACCCCCGCCUGAAUUCUCACUCGAAUUCCUCUUACGAUUUCAGAGCGUACGAGUAAGAACCAGUGCCAUCCCUCGGGGUAUCAAGGGUUGGCGGAAUGGAUUCUAAAGGGAGGACAACUGAAAGGAAGACUGGAAGAGCAUUUCAUUCGACGUUACUGGGAUGCUGGAUGAGCUGCUCCUCUAGGUACACGUUCAUCCCAGACAUCCUGUCAUCUCAGCGUAGCUUCGAGUUUACAGGCAACGACUUUCAAAAACUGACGUUACCUCUACUACCUACGGCCACUCUUCUGGCUUCUUGGUUUUACUCUUCGUUAACCUCCGUGCAACGAGAUAGCGGAAUUAACAACGACGCGGUCGUUCUCAUAAGCCAGGACGUCUCUAACAGGGUUCUUAACUCGAUUAUUUCCUACAAGACGCUUAGCAACCUACCCGGGACAUCGAAGUCAGCACGAAAUUGGUAGACGAGGGGUGUGUCUGAUAAAUUUAAUGACUCCCCAAGGAUACGAGCUGGAACCAGGAAGAAUCGUCGUAUAGAAGUCUCAAGGGAGAUAAGAAAAAGACAGGAGAGAAGAAACUAGAAUUAAGAUCCAGGCUGAUGAUUACAAUGAUCAGAACGACGAGACAACUGGAUCCAUAGCUUACAAGUGCCAAGAGAUUCAAAGAAGAAUUUUUAACCUCUCAGAGCGAAGCAAACUUGAUCCAGUGGUGGAGGAAGACGAGGAAAGCUCGAAGCUCAAGAACCUCAGGAUGCGAGUUCGAGAACCUCGUCCCUAGAUUUCACGGUGCU
Long non-coding RNA from Cephus cinctus (wheat stem sawfly), 1484 nucleotides. RefSeq lists it as uncharacterized. Lineage: Eukaryota; Metazoa; Arthropoda; Insecta; Hymenoptera; Cephidae. The transcript has 5 exons. The record is from RefSeq and is a predicted model, not a curated record.